ACGCGAAGAACCUUACCNCAGGCUUGAACAGCGAGUGACCAUCGACGAAAGUUGACUUCCGCAAGGACACUCGUAGAGGUGCUGCAUGGCUGUCGUCAGCUCGUGUCGUGAGAUGUUGGGUUAAGUCCCGCAACGAGCGCAACCCUUGUUUGCCGUUGCCAUCACGUUAUGGUGGGCACUCUGCAAAGACUGCCGGUGAUAAACCGGAGGAAGGUGGGGAUGACGUCAAGUCAGCAUGGCCUUUAUGUCUGGGGCUACACACGUGCUACAAUGGCCGAUACAAACCGUCGCGAGCCCGCAAGGGGGAGCUAAUCGGAGAAAGUCGGUCUCAGUUCGGAUAGCAGGCUGCAACUCGCCUGCUUGAAGUUGGAAUCGCUAGUAAUCGCGGAUCAGCACGCCGCGGUGAAUACGUUCCCGGGUCUUGUACACACCG
This 433-nucleotide ribosomal RNA is filed under the name uncultured bacterium. RNAcentral's name for it is "bacterial SSU rRNA". It matches the Rfam family "Bacterial small subunit ribosomal RNA", at positions 959 to 1392 of the family's 1533-position model. The record is from RNAcentral.